CCUACGGGAGGCAGCAGUGGGGAAUCUUCCGCAAUGGGCGAAAGCCUGACGGAGCAACGCCGCGUGAUCGAAUGAAGGCCUUCGGGUUGUAAAGAUCUGUUGACAGGGACGAAUAAGCCAUGCGAAUAGUUUGGUGUAUGACGGUACCUGUUUAGAAAGCUCCGGCUAACUACGUGCCAGCAGCCGCGGUAAUACGUAGGGAGCAAGCGUUGUCCGGAAUUACUGGGCGUAAAGGGCGCGUAGGUGGGUGCUUAAGUCAGCGGUCAAAUUGCGGGGCUCAACCCCGUACUGCCGUUGAAACUGCAUCCCUUGAGUGCGCGAGAAGUAUGCGGAAUGCGUGGUGUAGCGGUGAAAUGCAUAGAUAUCACGCAGAACUCCGAUUGCGAAGGCAGCAUACCGGCGCGCAACUGACGCUCAUGCACGAAAGCGUGGGUAUCGAACAGGAUUAGAUACCCGAGUAGUC
RNAcentral lists this ribosomal RNA (463 nucleotides) under uncultured bacterium. RNAcentral's name for it is "partial 16S ribosomal RNA". It matches the Rfam family "Bacterial small subunit ribosomal RNA", at positions 338 to 795 of the family's 1533-position model. The record is from RNAcentral.